This 416-nucleotide ribosomal RNA is filed under the name uncultured bacterium. Its description in RNAcentral is "bacterial SSU rRNA". It matches the Rfam family "Bacterial small subunit ribosomal RNA", at positions 355 to 763 of the family's 1533-position model. The record is from RNAcentral.
UAGGGAAUAUUGGACAAUGGGGGCAACCCUGAUCCAGCCAUGCCGCGUGAGUGAAGAAGGCCCUCGGGUUGUAAAGCUCUUUUGUCCGGAAAGAAAAGCAUUCGGUGAAUACCCGGAUGUUCUGACGGUACCGGAAGAAUAAGCACCGGCUAACUUCGUGCCAGCAGCCGCGGUAAUACGAAGGGUGCAAGCGUUACUCGGAAUUACUGGGCGUAAAGCGUGCGUAGGUGGUUGUUUAAGUCUGAUGUGAAAGCCCUGGGCUCAACCUUGGAAUGGCAUUGGAAACUGAGCAGCUAGAGUGCGGUAGAGGGUAGUGGAAUUCCCGGUGUAGCAGUGAAAUGCGUAGAGAUCGGGAGGAACAUCUGAGGCGAAGGCGACUGCCUGGACCAGCACUGACACUGAGGCACGAAAGCGUG